GAUGAACGCUGGCGGCGUGCUUAACACAUGCAAGUCGAACGAAGCACCUUGAUUCGAUUCUUCGGAUGAAGAUCUUGGUGACUGAGUGGCGGACGGGUGAGUAACGCGUGGGUAACCUGCCUCAUACAGGGGGAUAACAGUUAGAAAUGACUGCUAAUACCGCAUAAGACCACAGCACCGCAUGGUGCAGGGGUAAAAACUCCGGUGGUAUGAGAUGGACCCGCGUCUGAUUAGGUAGUUGGUGGGGUAACGGCCUACCAAGCCGACGAUCAGUAGCCGACCUGAGAGGGUGACCGGCCACAUUGGGACUGAGACACGGCCCAAACUCCUACGGGAGGCAGCAGUGGGGAAUAUUGCACAAUGGGGGAAACCCUGGUGCAGCGACGCCGCGUGAGCGAUGAAGUAUUUCGGUAUGUAAAGCUCUAUCAGCAGGGAAGAAAAUGACGGUACCUGACUAAGAAGCACCGGCUAAAUACGUG
This 479-nucleotide ribosomal RNA is filed under the name uncultured bacterium. RNAcentral describes it as "partial 16S ribosomal RNA". It matches the Rfam family "Bacterial small subunit ribosomal RNA", at positions 28 to 507 of the family's 1533-position model. The record is from RNAcentral.